ACGAACGCUGGCGGCGUGCUUAACACAUGCAAGUCGAACGGAAAGGCCCUGCUUUUGUGGGGUGCUCGAGUGGCGAACGGGUGAGUAACACGUGAGUAACCUGCCCUUGACUUUGGGAUAACUUCAGGAAACUGGAGCUAAUACCGGAUAGGAGCUCCUGCUGCAUGGUGGGGGUUGGAAAGUUUCGGCGGUUGGGGAUGGACUCGCGGCUUAUCAGCUUGUUGGUGGGGUAGUGGCUUACCAAGGCUUUGACGGGUAGCCGGCCUGAGAGGGUGACCGGCCACAUUGGGACUGAGAUACGGCCCAGACUCCUACGGGAGGCAGCAGUGGGGAAUAUUGCACAAUGGGCGGAAGCCUGAUGCAGCAACGCCGCGUGCGGGAUGACGGCCUUCGGGUUGUAAACCGCUUUCGCCUGUGACGAAGCGUGAGUGACGGUAAUGGGUAAAGAAGCACCGGCUAACUACGUG
RNAcentral lists this ribosomal RNA (467 nucleotides) under uncultured bacterium. RNAcentral describes it as "partial 16S ribosomal RNA". It matches the Rfam family "Bacterial small subunit ribosomal RNA", at positions 29 to 507 of the family's 1533-position model. The record is from RNAcentral.